GACGAACGCUGGCGGCGUGCCUAAUACAUGCAAGUCGAACGCAGUGGGGACGGGUGAGUAACACGUGGGUAACCUCCCAUCAGAGGGGAUAACACUUGGAAACAGGUGCUAAACCGAUACUGAUGGAUGGACCCGCGGUGCAUUAGCUAGUUGGUGAGGUAACGGCUCACCAAGGCCAAGAUGCAUAGCGGACUGGAGAGGGGGAUCGGCCACAGUGGAACGGAGACACGGCCCAGACUCCUACGGGAGGCAGCAGUAGGGAAUCUUCGGCAAUGGACGAAAGCCUGAGCAAGCAACGCCGCGUGAGUGAAGAAGGUUUUCGGGUCGUAAAACACUUUUGUUGGGGAGGCGGUAUCUAACCAGAAAGCCACGGCUAACUACGUGCCAGCAGCCGCGGUAAUUC
This 403-nucleotide ribosomal RNA is filed under the name uncultured bacterium. RNAcentral's name for it is "partial 16S ribosomal RNA". It matches the Rfam family "Bacterial small subunit ribosomal RNA", at positions 28 to 526 of the family's 1533-position model. The record is from RNAcentral.